This is a non-coding RNA of Python bivittatus (Burmese python), 337 nucleotides long. The record is from RefSeq and is a predicted model, not a curated record. Lineage: Eukaryota; Metazoa; Chordata; Lepidosauria; Squamata; Pythonidae.
CCGGCCGCGGUGACGCUUUUGUUCUCUUCGCCUGGAUGCGCUUCCAAAAGUGAAAGGAAAAAGGCUUCACCCAAAACUUGCUUCCCGUCCCCCCUCCCUCCUCCCAGCGUGGCGCUUGAGUAGCCCUUCCACUCCCCAGCUCCCAUCCCAGUUUCCUGAAAGCGACAGCUCGUCCUUGGGAACGGUAAGAGAACUCCCGCGCCCACUCGGCCGAACAGCGAGGGGGAUCGUCCUCUGUGCCUGUCAAGGGGAUCCAAACAAAGAGGCUUGGGUCCUCUAGCUGAUGUUGAUAAACUUAAGGAAAGAUGAAUAUCUUGCAGAUCUUUUCCUGUUGGAU